This 582-nucleotide ribosomal RNA is filed under the name uncultured methanogenic archaeon. RNAcentral describes it as "bacterial SSU rRNA". It matches the Rfam family "Archaeal small subunit ribosomal RNA", at positions 723 to 1327 of the family's 1478-position model. The record is from RNAcentral. Lineage: Archaea; Methanobacteriati; Methanobacteriota.
UGGGACGACGAAUAUCCCGUAUCCAAGCUUAACUUGCGUUAGGUGGCCUUAAUACGAGUACCGGGUGCCGAAGGAAACGUGAACGGCCGCCUGGAAGUACGUCGCAAGCUGAAACUAAAGGAAUGGCGGGGAGCACACAACGGGUGGAGCCUGCGGUUAAUGGACUCAACGCCGGGCAGCUCACCGGAUAGGACAGCGGAAUGAUAGCCGGGCUGAAGACCUUGCUUGACCAGCUGAGAGGAGGUGCAUGGCCGUCGUCAGUUCGUACUGUGAAGCAUCCUGUUUAGUCAGGCAACGAGCGAGACCCACGCCAACAGUUGCUAGCAUGUUCUCCGGAAAAAAAAAGAAAAAUAAAGGGACCGCCUCUGCUAAAGAGGAGGAAGGAAUGGGCAACGGUAGGUCAGCAUGCCCCGAAUUAUCCGGGCUACACGCGGGCUACAAUGGUCAGGACAAUGGGAAACGGCACUGAAAAGUGUAGUCAAUCUCCUAAACCUGUCCCAAGUUCGGAUUGUGGGCUGCAACUCGCCCACAUGAAGCUGGAAUCCGUAGUAAUCGCGUUUCAAAAUAGCGCGGUGAAUAAGU